This 750-nucleotide ribosomal RNA is filed under the name uncultured bacterium. Its description in RNAcentral is "bacterial SSU rRNA". It matches the Rfam family "Bacterial small subunit ribosomal RNA", at positions 61 to 810 of the family's 1533-position model. The record is from RNAcentral.
GUCGAGGGGUAGAAGCAGCUUGCUGCUUUGAGACCGGCGCACGGGUGCGUAAUGCGUAUACAAUCUACCUUUUACAGAGGGAUAGCCCAGAGAAAUUUGGAUUAAUACCUCAUAGUAUUUUCGAAUCGCAUGAUUUGAUUAUUAAAGUUCCAACGGUAAAAGAUGAGUAUGCGUCCCAUUAGCUAGAUGGUAAGGUAACGGCUUACCAUGGCAACGAUGGGUAGGGGUCCUGAGAGGGAGAUCCCCCACACUGGUACUGAGACACGGACCAGACUCCUACGGGAGGCAGCAGUGAGGAAUAUUGGACAAUGGGCGCAAGCCUGAUCCAGCCAUGCCGCGUGCAGGAAGACGGUCCUAUGGAUUGUAAACUGCUUUUAUACAGGAAGAAACACCUCUACGUGUAGAGACUUGACGGUACUGUAUGAAUAAGCAUCGGCUAACUCCGUGCCAGCAGCCGCGGUAAUACGGAGGAUGCAAGCGUUAUCCGGAAUCAUUGGGUUUAAAGGGUCCGUAGGCGGCCAAAUAAGUCAGUGGUGAAAGCCCAUCGCUCAACGAUGGAACGGCCAUUGAUACUGUUUGGCUUGAAUUAUUAGGAAGUAACUAGAAUAUGUAGUGUAGCGGUGAAAUGCUUAGAGAUUACAUGGAAUACCAAUUGCGAAGGCAGGUUACUACUAAUAUAUUGACGCUGAUGGACGAAAGCGUGGGGAGCGAACAGGAUUAGAUACCCUGGUAGUCCACGCCGUAAACGAU